GACGAACGCUGGCGGCGUGCUUAACACAUGCAAGUCGUGCGGUAAGGCCCUUUCGGGGGUACACGAGCGGCGAACGGGUGCGUAACACGUGAGCAACCUGCCCUUCACUUUGGGAUAACUGCCGGAAACGGUGGCUAAUACCGGAAAUGACUUCCUCACGCAUGUGGGGUGGUGGAAAGCCUUCGGGUGGUGGGGGAUGGGCUCGCGGUCUAUCAGCUUGUUGGUGGGGUGAUGGCCUACCAAGGCUUCGACGGGUAGCCGGCCUGAGAGGGUGACCGGCCACACUGGGACUGAGAGACGGACCAGACUCCUACGGGAGGCAGCAGGGGGAAGUAUGGGACAGUGGGCGAAAGCCUGUUCCAGCAACGCCGCGUGAGGGAUGACGGCCUUCGGGUUGUGAACCUCUUUCGCCUGCGACGAAGCGAGAGUGACGGUAGCAGGUAAAGAAGCACCGGCCAACUACGUG
RNAcentral lists this ribosomal RNA (466 nucleotides) under uncultured bacterium. RNAcentral describes it as "partial 16S ribosomal RNA". It matches the Rfam family "Bacterial small subunit ribosomal RNA", at positions 28 to 507 of the family's 1533-position model. The record is from RNAcentral.